Paramisgurnus dabryanus is the source of this 469-nucleotide long non-coding RNA. RefSeq lists it as uncharacterized. NCBI's taxonomy places the organism in Eukaryota, Metazoa, Chordata, Actinopteri, Cypriniformes, Cobitidae. The record is from RefSeq and is a predicted model, not a curated record.
ACCACAUACAAACACAAGAUGGAAAACUGGCAAUACAAUCUAGCAGGAUUAGGUUCACAUGAGUCCAGCUGUGUUUGCUCUGAAAGGUCUAGUGAAAUUAGUGUCAAAGAGAGAUGUGAGAAAGAGAGACAGAAAUGGACCUAAACAUUCUGAAAAAGACAGAUCUGGUUGUAGCUUUCAACCCUCCCAGACGACAGCUGUACCAGGAUUUACUUAAUGGGGUAACGGCACAAACACGCCAUUCUUGAAUGCUGGCAUCACGGCACAGUUUCCAAUCUUGAAGCCCACAAAAAGGCGAGAUCGCUACAACAAGCUGCUUCUGUUCCCAUCCUUCCCUUUAGUUGGCGGCGAUGACUUCAGUUCUGCUAACUGUUAUUCCCCAGGCCUCGAUUACCUAAUCAGAGACGUCUGUGUUUGCUCACGCCCCAACACAUCAAACCGACAAUGAACUUUCACAAUUUUGCAUAUA